RNAcentral lists this ribosomal RNA (550 nucleotides) under Colletotrichum gloeosporioides. Its description in RNAcentral is "eukaryotic LSU rRNA". The stretch from base 170 to 323 matches the Rfam family "5.8S ribosomal RNA". The record is from RNAcentral. Lineage: Eukaryota; Fungi; Ascomycota; Sordariomycetes; Glomerellales; Glomerellaceae.
GGGAGUUCGCUCUAUAACCCUUUGUGACAUACCUAUAACUGUUGCUUCGGCGGGUAGGGUCUCCGCGACCCUCCCGGCCUCCCGCCUCCGGGCGGGUCGGCGCCCGCCGGAGGAUAACCAAACUCUGAUUUAACGACGUUUCUUCUGAGUGGUACAAGCAAAUAAUCAAAACUUUUAACAACGGAUCUCUUGGUUCUGGCAUCGAUGAAGAACGCAGCGAAAUGCGAUAAGUAAUGUGAAUUGCAGAAUUCAGUGAAUCAUCGAAUCUUUGAACGCACAUUGCGCCCGCCAGCAUUCUGGCGGGCAUGCCUGUUCGAGCGUCAUUUCAACCCUCAAGCUCUGCUUGGUGUUGGGGCCCUACAGCUGAUGUAGGCCCUCAAAGGUAGUGGCGGACCCUCCCGGAGCCUCCUUUGCGUAGUAACUUUACGUCUCGCACUGGGAUCCGGAGGGACUCUUGCCGUAAAACCCCCCAAUUUUCCAAAGGUUGACCUCGGAUCAGGUAGGAAUACCCGCUGAACUUAAGCAUAUCAAAAGCCGGAGGAACCCGCCG